Molecule: small RNA, 110 nt
Filed under: Serratia marcescens
Lineage: Bacteria; Pseudomonadati; Pseudomonadota; Gammaproteobacteria; Enterobacterales; Yersiniaceae
Also listed under: 1 other name
Description: RtT sRNA
Rfam family: RtT RNA
About the family: This family represents a bacterial cis-regulatory element known as RtT RNA. The exact function of RtT is unknown although it is thought that it may be involved in changing the cellular response in relation to amino acid starvation.
Source: RNAcentral
CAAGGUGUUAAAUCGUCAGGAUGAGAACCGUAAAGGUUCGAGUCUCGCGAAGCGAGACAACAUCACUCCGGUGGUGGCCCGAAGGGCGAGUUAUCCUACACGAUCCACCA